Molecule: long non-coding RNA, 4892 nt
Organism: Esox lucius (northern pike)
Lineage: Eukaryota; Metazoa; Chordata; Actinopteri; Esociformes; Esocidae
Source: Ensembl
UGUGCCUCUAUUUAUUAUUCUCCAUUAGCAAUUCACUGAAAAAAGCAAAUACUGUUACAGCACAAAAUUAUUAUUUCCAAAGCAAUCUUGGCAACAAGUUAUAGUAACAACUUCAUAAUAAAAAGUCAAAGGUUAUUUCAAUUUCUUGCAGUUUUCUUCACUUUAAUUAUAAAAGAAAAUAAUUCACUCUUCACCAAGCUUUUACAUUUAAAUAAAAUACCCAGUCCAAAUAACCUUCUUUUUUAUUUGCAAAUGCAAAGAUUUGUCAAUAAUAAAUAAUACUAUAAAAUGUACACAAAAGGUUUGAGAAUUCACCACAAGGUAAAACAUAGACGUGGUAGGGGGGUGUUUGGGGGAGGAGCUGAAGUUGUAGGAAGGGUGUUUUAGCAGAAUGUGAGGGUUGGGUUCAUACAAGUCACAUAAAAGCUGGUCAUCUAUACAUCAACACUAGCAACAUAACAAAGUUGUUUUUUGUCAAUUUUCUUUUGUACAAAGUGGGGUCUUACACGCAAGCGUCAUCGUCUGCACUGUGGAGAACACAAGCGAGAGUUAAGGCAGCUUUUCCGUUCACAUUUGAAAAGUGACAUGAGCAUUUUUUUUUUCUUUUUUUUGUAUUCCUUCUCUCAAUCAAUGUUUUCAUGUAGGAAGUCGCCAUGACAUAUGCAUCUUAGACUGUUGACCUAGCAUGUUUACUUGAAUUGCUUAGGUGGUGGAUCUUUUUAAAUUCUUCAUCCCUCUACCAUGAAAUAGAUAAUUAAUCCCACAUAAUUCUGUUGGUUGCAUUUGCAAGACUGGAGAUGCUGGCAAUAAAGGGGUGAAUCAGCCUUUUGUUUACAAUGAUGAAGGUUAUAUUAAGGUGUGUAUUGCAUUGUAUGUGUGUUAAGUUCAGGGCCAUUCAAAGGUCUAUGUAAGUGUUGGUAGGGAACUCUGCUAUAGAAAAUCAGAGUUGUAUUUUCAGUUACACUGUGUUGGCAGCAAGUCAUAUUCACCCUGACACCUAGUGGCAAUUCUUAGCUUCACAGAUAUUUAUUUUUCAUCCAGAUGCCUCUAGCCCAACAGACAGGACAACAAUGGUUGGGGGAGAUCAGUUGCAUGUGUUUACACACAGACCCACACACAAUUCUGCUGUCAGACAGAAGCCUGACCUGUUUUAUUGUCUCAGUUUCAAUUGUCUCUCACAUCUGUCAAAAACCGCAGAUACUACACGUGUACAGUUUCAGGGCUAUAUUUAUCCAAGUAUCUCUGGUUCGUUUUACAUAAAGUGGUGAAAUGAAGUAAAAUUGAAUGAAGGAAUGGAAAAUAUUUCUCAGCAUUUUUUUCUUGUGAUCUCAGAUUUUGGUUGAAAUCACUGAAUGCAACAAUUGAAGCAAUUUGAAGCAAAUUAACCGCUACUCUUGGAUUGUGCGGUAUGAGGACUGCAGAAGGCUAUCUGGCUGAUUCUGAAAAUGUUUUUAUUUAAUAAUUAUUAAAAAGAAGAGACUGGAUAUUCAAGGCAAUAAUUACUGUGAAACAGAAUCCUCUUCUUGGCACGGAAAAGGCAGAGCCUUAAUGCUUGACUAUCAACACGCUUCAGAUUGUGUUGCAGUGCUUACUCUGAGUCAACAGUCUCUAAUCUGAACAUUGGUCUCUAGUUCCACCUGCUUGGCAUACAAAGACAGUGUGGCAAACGCUGCUGUCACCUGGGAGGGAGUCAAUAAAGCGGAGUUGGAACAAUACAUGGAUGGAGAGAGAACGUACACUACCAAUCAAAAGAUUGGAAUCAUGUACCCAUUCAACUGAAUUAGUGUGUCCAAACCUUUAAGUCACACUGGAUCUCCAAACUUAAUUUUAGUUAGCGUGUGCAUACAUGCAUGCAUGUGAGCAAGUUAAAGAGGGCAUCAAGGAGGGUGGUGAGUCAUUGCUUUUAAUACGUGUGUAUGUGUGUGCGCGCAUACAUGUAGUGCUAUACGUUACCUUGAAUUAAUCAAAAGCUAUUUUAGGCUCAGGGGUUAAGAUUACAGUAAGGGUGACAUUUAGGUUUUAAGAUGUUGUGGUUACAGUUAGGGUAAGUGCUGGGGAAAAACAUUUGUUUUAAAAUGUAAAUCUAGUGUUACUCCUUGCAAGCAUAGCACUUUAAGUGCGUGUGUUUCAAAUGCACUUGUGUGUAACUACCAUUUAUUUAGUACAACAUGCAAACCAUAGCUCUAGCUGGUGGUGGCAUUGCACUUCCCAUCAGUUCAGAGGAAAAGUUCACACAAGGAAUAAAGAGACGGAGAAUGUAGUUGGUAAGAAAGUGAAUAUUUUGUCUGGACAGUAGCUAUUUUGAUGUGGAAAGAAGUCUAUGUUGAGGAAUCACUGCACCAAAAGUUUUAAAAAUGUGUAUUUGGCCUGACUGAAGCAACAUGUUAUAAUUUCUCAGGGAAAUCAGCAACUGUAAGGUUGUGUGUGGUAAGCUUGUUGUCAAUUUGGAAAACUUUCAGUUACAGUAAGUGCUACUCGUUUUUGGCAAUAAUACGUCAGAUUUGUCACAAUUCUUCUCAGUCCUUCACAAUAUAAUGGUUUACAGUCAUUUAGAACGAGAUGGGGAAGUAAAAUGAUUCCCAUCCUCUAUAUUUAAUGUUUCAUGUUAAUAGUAUUGUAUAAUCUGUAGUUUAUGUUGACUUUGUGUCUGUAUUCUGUUUGUACAUUGUGCAUUGCUGUCAGCACCUGUUCACAAGUCAAACUCCUGGUAUGUGUAAAUGCACUUGGUGAAUAAAAUGAUUCUGAUAUCAUAACGUAAAUAUGACGACCUAUGACAACAUGUGACAGAUUAAGGAGCUGAUUCUUUUGUUUCAGUAGUUUGACUUUACAAAUAGUUCUACAGUACGUUCGGACCAGUGUUUCUAGAUCAUUAUCUAUGAGAGACAAGUAAAUAUGAUUGUAAGAGAGCCAGCUUUGUUUGUAAUUGGUAAAUCCUAGUGCAACGUUACAACCCUGAGCACUAGUGAUGACACAAUGCUAAUGGCUGUGGUCUCAACUCUCGAGUGACGCAAUCCUUUCUGGCGUGAUGAUCAGCAGUCAUUGUUUAGCUUCCAUUAUGAAAGUGACCCCAUUGCCAUAACCUUACUGUAAGCAUCAGAGAUGUGGCUGAAGAUACUGUCUAUUAUUAUGAUUAUGGUGUUAUUUUUUUAAACAUUUUUUUUUUUAUAGCAGUGAUGAUUAGAAGCAGAAUAACACAUCUGAUUCUGUCUGCCCAAGGGCUUGCCGAGAAGCAAAAUGGCUUCUACGAUAGCAGAGAUUGCACAUUGUCCUCACUCACCCACCGUUGUUUGCUGGUGAGGUCUCUACUCUGUUGUCCACUAAACUGUGAGUGAAGAUAAACUUAAAACAUCUUUUAUUACCAUGAAACCAACCAAAGAUCCGUCCAGUAGUGCCAUGGUUUCCUUCUAUUGAAGAUGUCCUCACUGCUCCACCAGAGAAAGAUUUGUGAUGCCAUUUCCAGGGAUUGAGACCUCGAUAGAACAAGUCCAUUAAUGCUCUUCUUUUCCCUUGUUCUGAUUCCUCAACAUGUGAGGCUCAGAAAUUGGCUCUGUUGGAUUGUUAACUUGUAUUAUCAGAUGUCUCUUUUUGGUUACCAGUACAAAAUGAUCGGUCACCAUCAAUAGCGAGAUGGGGGUUGGUGGUCAGUAUUUUUUGCUGGUUGUGAUCAUGCAAAAAAAAUGGGGUGGGUAAGUAUGAGUUUAGCCUGAAUUUCUUGCCACAAAAAUGCUCCACCUUUUACUCUUGAAUGAACAAUCUAAAAAGGCUAGAGUAACUUAGGCCUUUCCCAGCAAAAAAAUAAUUGCUGGUACAUAUUUUGGCUUAGUAUUGUGGCUUAUCAGUCUGACAGCGAAUAUCUGACAGGGAAUUUGCUUUGGAAACUAGAUGGGGCAAUGUGGGCUAAAGGAAUGUCUCAAGAGAAAAUAAGACUUCUGGUCUGACUGGGUCAAUACUGAAAGCCUCUUCCACUGGUCCAGGGAUUUUUGGGGUUGGGCUAUGCUGAAUGGUCAAUAUUGGGGUGGCAAGGCUAGACUUUUGAGUGCUGGUCGGCUGGGAGACAGUUCUGUGGAGGAACGAGGGGUGGAUGGUAAUAGGCUAGUGUUGUCAAAACCUUCAUCAGUCUCCCUCAUUCUGUUGGCAAGAUACUGCCAGCUGAAAUAUGAAACAAGAAAGAAGAUCCAGAAUUAGACAUCUUGGCUCAGACUCUGAGAAUUAAAAAAAAAUUACCGGCAGAAAAUCUGCUUGACUAAAAUAGUAUUAGCAUGUUAUAAGCUCCAAGUACAUUUUGCCUCAUGAUGGUACAUUUAUCUUAGCACCCCCUCUCAGAUCAGGUUAUAAGCUAAAGCAAGGGCAUCAGUGAUAAGGAAAUAUUUCAACUGAUUUAUGUAGACCAUGAAAGUACAUUUUGAGUAACAUUUCUGUGGUAUUCAAAUAAUAUACUUAAGUACAGUAAUAAAGCAUGAGUCUGGCAUUGCCAAUAUACCACUGCUAAGGACUGUACUUAGGCCUGAUGGACAACAGGUAUAUUGGUCAUGCCACAAUCCCUGAAAUGCCUUACUGUUAUAUUAUAAACUGGUAACCAACACAAUUAGAAAAGUGAAAAUAAAAUAUACAAACAGGGUGUUUUGAAUCAUGAAAGCUGAUUGGGUCUGAGCCAUGGUAUAUUAAACCAAAUACCAGAGGCAUGACAUCACAUAUUACUGCACUAAUUGAGUUAGUAACCAGUUUAUGAAUGUAAUAUGACAUCUCGGGUGUUUGUGAUAUAUUGCCAAUAUACCACAGCUAAGCGUUGUGUUCAGGUAUGCCUGAGAAUAGCUCUUAGCCAUGGUAUAUUGGCCAUAUAUCACAUUAAAAAAACAUUGUGCCUUAUUGCUUACAUAUGACAUUACUUUCAG